RNAcentral lists this ribosomal RNA (468 nucleotides) under uncultured bacterium. RNAcentral's name for it is "partial 16S ribosomal RNA". It matches the Rfam family "Bacterial small subunit ribosomal RNA", at positions 28 to 507 of the family's 1533-position model. The record is from RNAcentral.
GACGAACGCUGGCGGCGUGCCUAACACAUGCAAGUCGAACGGAAAGGCCCUGCUUUUGUGGGGUGCUCGAGUGGCGAACGGGUGAGUAACACGUGAGUAACCUGCCCUUGACUUUGGGAUAACUUCAGGAAACUGGGGCUAAUACCGGAUAGGAGCUCCUGCUGCAUGGUGGGGGUUGGAAAGUUUCGGCGGUUGGGGAUGGACUCGCGGCUUAUCAGCUUGUUGGUGGGGUAGUGGCUUACCAAGGCUUUGACGGGUAGCCGGCCUGAGAGGGUGACCGGCCACAUUGGGACUGAGAUACGGCCCAGACUCCUACGGGAGGCAGCAGUGGGGAAUAUUGCACAAUGGGCGGAAGCCUGAUGCAGCAACGCCGCGUGCGGGAUGACGGCCUUCGGGUUGUAAACCGCUUUCGCCUGUGACGAAGCGUGAGUGACGGUACUGGGUAAAGAAGCACCGGCUAACUACGUG